GCUGGAAAACCUCAAAUGAGACCAGAUGCCCGGUGAGAGAACCAGGAGUCUAUAGGCAAACGCUGAACAGAUACAGAGCCUCACAGAAAAAAGCAGCUGAAUGCUCCAUUUCCAAAAGGGAACGGAAGAGUCACCCAGUCCCCUUUGGGGGCCAGUUGCCCUCAUUCCCACACUAAGCCCUGCUACGUACCCAGAUCUCCUGCACCGGGUUUCUGUGGCUGUAUUGUUCUGUGUGUGACUUAACCCCACAGCUUCUGAGCUAAGGUAGACUUCACUACUGUGCGCCCCAGAGCAAUCCCACGGGGUCUGUUCUAGCUGGGAAGAGCAAAGUUAUCCCCACAUUCACUGGGAGAAAUAGCCAGCCAGAAAAAUAAUAAAGAGUGCUUGUUCUCA
This 393-nucleotide long non-coding RNA is filed under the name Rattus norvegicus (Norway rat). Its description in RNAcentral is "long non-coding RNA NONRATT005951". Lineage: Eukaryota; Metazoa; Chordata; Mammalia; Rodentia; Muridae. The record is from RNAcentral.